This is a long non-coding RNA of Oncorhynchus tshawytscha (Chinook salmon), 1055 nucleotides long. The record is from Ensembl. NCBI's taxonomy places the organism in Eukaryota, Metazoa, Chordata, Actinopteri, Salmoniformes, Salmonidae.
GUCUCCGACAGGAAGUUUUGGAAGAGAGAUUUCGGAAGAUGAUUUGAAAUCGUGGAGCUAUUGAAUACACAUCGCCUCGUGAUCAAUUUGAUAGAUUAUUAACGUUUACUAAUACCUAAAGUUGGAUUACAAAAGUAUUUCGAAGUGUUUUGUGAAAGUUUAUUGUCGACUUUUUUAAUUUAAAAAAAUGACGUAGCGUUUUGAAACAGUGUUUUUUUCUGAAUCACACAGUUUCCAUAGAUGGAUAUUUUGGGUAUAUAUGGACCGAUUUAAUCGAAAAAAAAGACCCAAUAGUGAUGUUUAUGGGACAUAUAGGAGUACCAACAAAGAAGCUCGUCCAAGGACCUGAGCCCUAGGACCAUGCCCCAGGACUACCUGACAUGAUGACUCCUUGCUGUCCCCAGUCCACCUGGCCAUGCUGCUGUUCCAGUUUCAACUGACCUGAGCCCUAGGACCAUGCCCCAGGACUACCUGACAUGAUGACUCCUUGCUGUCCCCAGUCCACCUGGCCAUGCUGCUGCUCCAGUUUCAACUUCCACCUGACUGUGCUGCUGCUCCAGUUUCAACUGUUCUGCCUUAUUAUUAUUCGACCAUGCUGGUCAUUUAUGAACAUUUGAACAUCUUGGCCAUGUUCUGUUAUAAUCUCCACCCGGCACAGCCAGAAGAGGACUGGCCACCCCACAUAGCCUGGUUCCCCUCUAGGUUUCUUCCUAGGUUUUGGCCUUUCUAGGGAGUUUUUCCUAGCCACCGUGCUUCUACACCUGCAUUGCUUGCUGUUUGGGGUUUUAGGCUGGGUUUCUGUACAGCACUUUGAGAUAUCAGCUGAUGUACGAAGGGCUAUAUAAAUAAAUUUGAUUUGAUUUGAUUUGAUUUAGAAAAUAGUAAAAAUAAAGAAAAACCCUUGAAUGAGUAGGUGUUUACAAACUUUUGACUGGUACUGUAUAUCCAGCCUGUUUCAGAUCAGUCAAGGAGACAGUCCUGGGGUGAUUCUCGAUUGUAUUUCCUUGAUUCCUUGCAUCCUCUGUCCUCACCUCCUUCUGUAAGCGUAUUGGAGU